Molecule: ribosomal RNA, 522 nt
Filed under: uncultured Actinomycetes bacterium
Lineage: Bacteria; Bacillati; Actinomycetota; Actinomycetes
Description: bacterial SSU rRNA
Rfam family: Bacterial small subunit ribosomal RNA
Source: RNAcentral
ACGCAGCAACGCCGCGUGGGGGAAGACGGCCUUCGGGUUGUAAACCCCUUUCAGGAGGGACGAAGGUUCACCGGUGAAUAGCCGAGUGGAUUGACGGUACCUCCACAAGAAGCUCCGGCUAACUACGUGCCAGCAGCCGCGGUAAUACGGUAGGGAGCAAGCGUUGUCCGGAAUCAGUUGGGCGUAAAGCGCGUGUAGGUGGCCACAUAAGUCCGUUGUGAAAGUCGAAAGGCUCAACCUUUGAAAGCCGAUGGAUACUGUGUGGCUAGAGUACGGAAGAGGCGAGUGGAAUUCCUGGUGUAGCGGUGGAAUGCGCAGAUAUCAGGAGGAACACCAAUAGCGAAGGCAGCUCGCUGGGACGUUACUGACACUGAGGCGCGAAAGCGUGGGGAGCGAACAGGAUUAGAUACCCUGGUAGUCCACGCCGUAAACGAUGGGUACUAGGUGUGGGAGGUGUCGACUCCUCCCGUGCCGUCGCUAACGCACUAAGUACCCCGCCUGGGGAGUACGGCCGCAAGGCUA